Small RNA from Colletotrichum sublineola, 279 nucleotides. It matches the Rfam family "A. fumigatus sRNA Afu_309". Lineage: Eukaryota; Fungi; Ascomycota; Sordariomycetes; Glomerellales; Glomerellaceae. The record is from Rfam.
CUCUCUUCAACAAACACGGGUCUGUGCCCAACGAUCCUCUGCUCCCACGGGAGUUCAGAGUCGAACGUUGAGGCAGCUCGAUCACUCAAGGAGCCAUCAAAUUUCAUGAUGUCAAUCUUCCGAUCGACAGAUCCAAGAAAGACCGGUCUUUAGGAAGCCAUGUUCGCUGUAAAAGGCUUGAGCGUGGUGGAAUAUUGCACCGGGGACGUCAUAUUCCGUACCCUUUUUCCGAGAUCGUCGAUCUUUGAGGUUAGGGAAAACCAUGACUUGCCCACAUAC